UCAGGAUGAACGCUAGCUACAGGCUUAACACAUGCAAGUCGAGGGGCAGCAGGGAAGUAGCUUGCUAUUCCGCUGGCGACCGGCGCACGGGUGAGUAACGCGUAUCCAACCUGCCCCGUACUCGGGGACAGCCCUCUGAAAGGAGGAUUAAUACCCGAUAUUGUCGCUGUGGGACAUCCCAUGGUGAUGAAAGAUUCAUCGGUACGGCGAUGGGGAUGCGUAUGAUUAGGACGUAGGCGGGGUAACGGCCCACCUAUCCGACGAUCAUUAGGGGUUCUGAGAGGAAGGUCCCCCACAUAGGAACUGAGACACGGUCCUAACUCCUACGGGAGGCAGCAGUGAGGAAUAUUGGUCAAUGGGCGAGAGCCUGAACCAGCCAAGUAGCGUGAAAGGAUGACUGCCCUAUGGGUUGUAAACUUCUUUUAUAGGGGAAUAAAGUGCUCCACGCGUGGAGUUUUGUAUGUACCCUAUGAAUAAGCAUCGGCUAAUUCCGUGCCAGCAGCCGC
Molecule: ribosomal RNA, 506 nt
Filed under: uncultured bacterium
Lineage: Bacteria
Description: bacterial SSU rRNA
Rfam family: Bacterial small subunit ribosomal RNA
Source: RNAcentral